CUUUUCUUCAGUUUAUCAAUUUCCAUUUCGUAACGCUCCUUCUCCUUCCGUCACCACUACCUUUUCCUCUACCAGCAGAAGCAGUCCAUGGCAGUUUAAAAAGAUUCUUCUGAACUCCGUCAAAAAAAAAUCCAAAUAAGCAAUACAACAGUUACCACAGUCCUUAAUUAUUAUUAUUAUUUUGUAAUAUUGAUCUCUAAUUCUUCACAUGUCGAGUCCGUCGGAUAGCUUAGGGAGGCCUUGUAAGUUCUCUCGUUCUUUAAUUAUUGAAUUUGAUUUUUGUCAUAAAUUCUGUACCAAUUUUUUUUUUAAUUUUCUUUGGCGGAACAAUCUUUGUUUAGAAAUCACAGUUUACUAGAUUAUCAAAAUUGUGAAAAUUAAGCAAUUUUGGAAAGAAAAUAGUGGUUUAAAUUGUAAUGACUUGUUCUAAAACCAUGGAAUUAAAUUUUUUAAUAACCUUUUUUUUUAAUUAUUUGAUGCUUUUAGGUCUUGAGGGGUUCUCUAGUAAUGAAGAGAAAAGAGAGAGGAAAUCGGAUUUUGAGAACUCAGAGGAAGAAAGGAAGACUAGAAUUGGGAGUUUGAAAAGGAAAGCAAUGAAGGCGUCUAGUAAACUCAGGCGUUCUCUCACGAAAAGCAAGAAAAAAGGUACUGGUGGCUGCGGUGGUGGCGAAGGGGUUUCUGCUGCAAUUGAGGAUGUUCGAGAUGUUGAGGAGCUUCGGGUUGUAGAUUCAUUUAAACAGUUACUUAUGGCGGACGAUUUGCUUCCUGCUAGACAUGAUGAUUAUCAUAUGUUAUUGAGGUUCCUUUUCUUCUUUGCUUGCUUGUAGUGCUGAUUACGGUCUUGAUAAAAUAUUUUCUUUGCUUUCGUCAUUUUUAUUUUAAUUCAUCAAAUGUUCUCUUAUUGAUUGCUUGUUAGCCCGUGUCCUUUGUUUUAUUGAUUAUUUAAAUAAUCGUUUGCUUCAGUAAAUUCGGAAUGGGUUUUGUCAGGUUUUUAGGUGUUACAUCCUCUUUCAAAUAUUAUUCAGAGGCUGAUUAUGUAAUUUGCCAAUUGCUUUGUCAAUAAAUAAAUCAAGAUUGGCCUGUAAAAAACUGGGAAAAUGAUUGGCUGCUUGAAGUCUUCAAUGCUAUGAUGCAAGACGAAUGGGAAAAUGAUUGACUAUGUGGUGUUCCUGAUUUCUUUUUGAAGCUCCCCUUUGACUUCACCUGGUUAGAUUGUCAUCCAAUUAUUUAGCUCCUUUUUUGUUUGUCCUUUUAUGAAUUUCAAUUUCAAUUGCAGAAGUGAUGAGAGGGUCGCCAAUUAACAGUGAUAGCUGCAUUGUUCAUUUUGGUUUUCAAAUCAAUCAAAUAUAGGCUGUGGUAUGAGCAUUUACAGUGGUUGUUUCAUGUUCAGAUUUCGUCUUUCUAAGUAAACUUUUAUGAGGUUCAAUGAUCGUGUACACAUUGGAAGUGAGAGCUGUUAUUAAUGUUUCUAUUUUCACAUAUUUCUUGAUGCUCAAAAUGAGGAAUAGUUGGUUCAGCUUAGCAGAACUUUUGUGCAGCGUCAAUACUAAAGAAUCUCGUUUUUGCAGGUUCUUAAAAGCAAGGAAGUUUGAUGUUGAGAAAGCCAAACAGAUGUGGGCCAACAUGCUACAGUGGAGGAAAGACUUCGGUACUGACACAAUUUUGGAGGUAACGCUAACACAAUCCUUCUCCAUUUCUGUAUCCUUACAUCUUCAUUUUAUGGUGGCUAUUCUUAGAGAAAUUUUUAGGUAGACUAAGUCUACCACCUCACUCAUAGACUGAUCCGAUAAACACAAGACACUAGGAUAAAAUACAGCGGUCUCCGCUUGUUGAUGUAUGCAUUCCACAUGAUUUUGUCUAUCUAUCUUCGCCUAGUCUAUGAGUGAUGCGGUAGACUUAGUCUAUGAAGUAAAUAAUUUCUCCUAUUCUUAAGUUUAGUGGCAUUGUUCAGGAUUUCGAGUUCAGUGAGUUGAAAGAAGUUCUAAAGUACUACCCUCAGGGUUAUCAUGGUGUAGAUAAGGAUGGGAGACCCGUUUACAUCGAAAGACUUGGAAAAGUUGAUUCCAGCAAACUUAUGGAAGUGACCACUUUAGAAAGAUAUUUGAGAUAUCACGUGCAGGAGUUUGAAAAGACAUUCACGAUUAAGUUUCCAGCUUGCUCCAUUGCCGCAAAGAGACACAUAGAUUCAAGUACAACUAUUUUGGAUGUGCAAGGACUUGUAUGUUUUAUUUAUUAAUAUCGGGUUUUUUUUAUACCUCUUCGAGGUUGUUACAUUCUGCUUUCUUUUUUAACAAAUUUUUCUCCAGGGUUUAAAAAACUUCAACAAGUCCGCACGAGAACUCAUCAUUCAGCUCCAGAAGAUUGAUGGUGACAACUAUCCUGAGGUAUGUGAUUUUGCUCUCAAUUUUCAUAGAAGUUUUUCUUUAACACUGAUUCUUAUGCCUAAAAAUCAAGUUGGGAAGCUAUUUUGUUACAAGAGCUAAAACAGAAAAUUGCACAGACACUUUGCAGAAUGUUUGUCAUUAAUGCUGGUCCUGGUUUUAAGCUGCUCUGGAAAACAGUGAAAUCUUUUCUCGAUCCCAACACAGCUUCCAAGAUUUAUGUGAGUAGUGCUUUCCUUAGUUUUGUUGAAUUGCCUAACAUUUACAGUUGACAGAUGUAUACUAGCUGAUUUUGGAAUUUUAACUCAGGUUCUUGGUAACAAGUACCAGAGCAAGUUGCUUGAAAUAAUAGGCUCUAGGUAACAAAAUUCUACGAUUAUUUCCUUGCUAGUUAUCUUCCCUUUCAAUUAUACAAACUGUCUAAAACUUUUAAAAAUAACUUGGAAUUUGUUCAGUGAGUUGCCCGAGUUUUUAGGUGGUAGCUGUACUUGUACUGAUCAGGGAGGCUGUAUGAGAUCUGACAAGGGGCCGUGGAAAGAUCCGAACAUUUUAAAGGUGUGGUGAUUACUUUAAAUUCUAUGUGGUGCCUUUGUAUGUUGAAACACCAUUAUUCAGACUUCUGUUUUUGGUAAAGCGCUUUUCUAAUAUGUUCAUGUUAUAUGAUUAAUUGUCCGUCCAGAUGGUUCUCACUGGUGAAGCACAAUAUUCCAGACAAAUAGUAACUAUUUCAAAUAGUGAGGGCAGGGUAAUUGCUUAUGACAAGCCAUUCAAUCCAAUGGUAAACUCUCUCGGGAAAGCUUUUGUCUUGUACGAUACUCAACUGCAUGUUCUCUAACUUGGUUUUUUUUUUUUGGCUGAGCCAGAUAAAAACAAGUGAUACUUCCACUGCAGAGUCAGGAUCUGAAGUGGAAGAUGUUGGCUCUCCGAAGCCAACUGGGAGCUAUUUACUGCCAAGCCUGGUUCCUGUCUCUGAAGAAGUAAGUUUUUCUGAAAGUUUAGAUGUACGAGUCUAUGUGAAGUUUAGUUGAAGUUGUUUUACUUUAGAAGAUUGAUACAUUAAAAGUAUCCUCCAACAGAAUGCAUUCCUUGAAUGAAAUGCAAGUGUGUCUGUGGGUUUUGAGUGUAUAUAUAAUGCUAAUAUUUUAAAUUAUACAGGCUAGGGUGGCUGGUAAGACGAGUGCUGCCAUUUUCCCUGAUAACAAUGGAAAUAUACCUAUAAUUGACAAGACAGUGGAUGCUGAAUUUCAAGAUUCAUCUACUUCCACAGGUUAGCAAGAUUCAACGCUAUCAUAUGGAUAAAUUCUGACUGGUAACUGUUAGUGACUAGGGUCGAUGUAUGCAGAACUUGUGUAGAUGGAUUUUGUUGUAAUAGAUAGAGAUAGGGUAUCCUAGGAUUGUGGCUGCCUUCUGGUUCUGCUGCCUCCUUGGUGUGGCAGCCCUGAGAAGGGAACUUUGAAAUGAAGUUAAAUGUAAUAUUCCUUUUAUUGUAGUUUCACCCUUAGAGUUCCAUUUUCCUUGUUUUUCCUUUGGGGAAAUUAAAAAAACACCAAUCAUAGUAGGUGGGAUGUUAUGAUACUUGGAUAUAAAAACAUUACACUUUCAGGGCCUUUAUAUGGAGAUCCAGACGUCUCCCUAUUGUUUUGGGAGAACAUUAAUUAAGAGACAAGUCAUGGAUCUUUUUCGCCUGGCUCAUGCUCUAAUUAUCUUUUCUGAUAAGGGGUAUCACCAUGACUAGUUGGAUUUCACGAGGACUUCACUGGUUUAGGUUGGAGUAAAUGUUAUUUGAUAUGAUAUUAUAUCAGAUGCUGAACAAAAUUAAUGAAAUUGGUUGCAGGCACACCUUCUCUGUUAAGUGUAGAGAAGAUUUCAGAAGGAAUCUCUGCUCGUACCUGGGCUGUGCUUGUGGCCGUCUUCAUAACCCUUCUUGCUUUCUUCCGUUCAAUGGCAUUUUGGAAGGCCAAGAAACACUCUGCAUCUGAUUCUGCC
RNAcentral lists this long non-coding RNA (4367 nucleotides) under Populus trichocarpa (black cottonwood). RNAcentral describes it as "long non-coding RNA (PTRI_LNC000542)". Lineage: Eukaryota; Viridiplantae; Streptophyta; Magnoliopsida; Malpighiales; Salicaceae. The record is from RNAcentral.